This is a non-coding RNA of Mycobacterium gordonae, 68 nucleotides long. The record is from Rfam. Lineage: Bacteria; Bacillati; Actinomycetota; Actinomycetes; Mycobacteriales; Mycobacteriaceae.
UUCGCUGCCGGGUCAACCUCGCGGGUCACCACCAGGUACUCCCGCAGCGCGAUGGCAUGCAGGUGCUC